RNAcentral lists this ribosomal RNA (443 nucleotides) under Phronima sp. USNM IZ 1450419. RNAcentral describes it as "SSU rRNA". It matches the Rfam family "Eukaryotic small subunit ribosomal RNA", at positions 51 to 414 of the family's 1831-position model. The record is from RNAcentral. Lineage: Eukaryota; Metazoa; Arthropoda; Malacostraca; Amphipoda; Phronimidae.
AUGCAUGCCUAAGUACAGCUCGGUGGUAACACCGGGCGAAACCGCAGACGGCUCAUUAAAUCAGUUGUGGUCUAAGUGGGCGACAGUUUUCCCUAGUUGGAUAACUGUGGAAAAUCCAGAGCUAAUACAUGCGACACACAGUCCUCAGCAAACCCAACACUUGUGCUGGUCCCUUGCUCUGGAUGCUUUUAUUAGACCGAGGCGCGCGCAUGCGUGACUUACUCCUCGUUUCGGCGGGGCUGCGGUCACUAGUGCGAUGUACGUAAGCGCUUAAAGGUGACUCUGGAUAACAAUGAUAAGCGUGGCUUAAUUGACACGCUGCCUACUUACGAGUGACUGACCUAUCAGCUCCUAAUGUAUGUUAUACGCGAACAUUGGCUCUGACGGGUAACGGGGAAUCAGAGUUCGAUUCCGGAGAGGCAGCCUGAGAAACGGCUACCACG